UACGGAGGAUGCAAGCGUUAUCCGGAAUGAUUGGGCGUAAAGCGUCCGCAGGUGGCUGUGUAAGUCUGCUGUUAAAUAGUGAGGCUCAACCUCAUAAGAGCAGUGGAAACUACAUAGCUAGAGUACGUUCGGGGCAGAGGGAAUUCCUGGUGUAGCGGUGAAAUGCGUAGAGAUCAGGAGGAACACCAGUGGCGAAGGCGCUCUGCUAGGCCGUAACUGACACUGAGGGACGAAAGCUAGGGGAGCGAAUGGG
RNAcentral lists this ribosomal RNA (253 nucleotides) under uncultured bacterium. Its description in RNAcentral is "partial 16S ribosomal RNA". It matches the Rfam family "Bacterial small subunit ribosomal RNA", at positions 524 to 776 of the family's 1533-position model. The record is from RNAcentral.